This 525-nucleotide ribosomal RNA is filed under the name uncultured bacterium. RNAcentral describes it as "bacterial SSU rRNA". It matches the Rfam family "Bacterial small subunit ribosomal RNA", at positions 777 to 1297 of the family's 1533-position model. The record is from RNAcentral.
AAUAGAUACCCGGGUAGUCCACGCCGUAAACGAUGAGUGCUAAGUGUUAGAGGGUUUCCGCCCUUUAGUGCUGCAGCUAACGCAUUAAGCACUCCGCCUGGGGAGUACGGCCGCAAGGCUGAAAACUCAAAGGAAUUGACGGGGGGCCCGCACAAGCGGUGGAGCAUGUGGUUUAAUUCGAAGCAACGCGAAGAACCUUACCAGGUCUUGACAUCCUCUGCCAACCCUAGAGAUAGGGCGUUCCCCUUCGGGGGACAGAGUGACAGGUGGUGCAUGGUUGUCGUCAGCUCGUGUCGUGAGAUGUUGGGUUAAGUCCCGCAACGAGCGCAACCCUUGAUCUUAGUUGCCAGCAUUCAGUUGGGCACUCUAAGGUAACUGCCGGUGACAAACCGGAGGAAGGUGGGGAUGACGUCAAAUCAUCAUGCCCCUUAUGACCUGGGCUACACACGUGCUACAAUGGAUGGUACAAAGAGCUGCGAACCCGCGAGGGUAAGCGAAUCUCAGUAAAGCCAUUCUCAGUUCGGA